GGGGAUGCAUUGCAUCGACAGAGAUAGCACUUUUAAAAUUGCAAGCCGGCUUUGAGACACAGCCGUCCGCGAAAGCGAGAUCUCGCCUUAACAGGCGGAUAAAACAGUCUCAAAACAUAAAUGCUAGACCAAGUUCUAGUGACCUAGCUUACGAACGCAAUCUUGCUUACGUAAACUAAGCUCUGUCUGUAUUGACCCUUCUCAACGGGACAGUACGGGCAUAAACAAAGUUGAGAAAAGGAUAUGAGGCUGGUUACCUUAUAUUAUCUUUUAACCUUGGUUUUAGGACACCCUUGUCAAUCAGUUAAGCCUAAAACGACAAUUAAAGAUUGACUACGCUUGUAGAUAUUUUAUAGGUACUGUUUUUGGACGCCGGGUCAUUCUCGGCCAUCUCCACAC
This is a transfer-messenger RNA of 399 nucleotides. It matches the Rfam family "transfer-messenger RNA". From Rfam's summary of the family: Bacterial tmRNA, also known as 10Sa RNA or SsrA, is named for its dual tRNA and mRNA-like properties. Its role is to liberate the mRNA from a stalled ribosome.